ACUCCUACGGGAGGCAGCAGUGGGGAAUAUUGCACAAUGGGCGCAAGCCUGAUGCAGCCAUGCCGCGUGUGUGAAGAAGGCCUUCGGGUUGUAAAGCACUUUCAGUUGUGAGGAAGGUGGUGUCGUUAAUAGCGGCAUCAUUUGACGUUAGCAACAGAAGAAGCACCGGCUAACUCCGUGCCAGCAGCCGCGGUAAUACGGAGGGUGCGAGCGUUAAUCGGAAUUACUGGGCGUAAAGCGCAUGCAGGUGGAUUGUUAAGUCAGAUGUGAAAGCCCGGGGCUCAACCUCGGAACUGCAUUUGAAACUGGCAGACUAGAGUACUGUAGAGGGGUAGAAUUUCAGGUGUAGCGGUGAAAUGCGUAGAGAUCUGAAGGAAUACCGGUGGCGAACGGCGGCCCCCUGGACAGAUACUGACACUCAGAUGCGAAAGCGUGGGAGCAAACAGGAUUAGAUA
This 455-nucleotide ribosomal RNA is filed under the name uncultured bacterium. RNAcentral describes it as "bacterial SSU rRNA". It matches the Rfam family "Bacterial small subunit ribosomal RNA", at positions 335 to 784 of the family's 1533-position model. The record is from RNAcentral.